Coffea arabica (coffee) is the source of this 983-nucleotide non-coding RNA. Lineage: Eukaryota; Viridiplantae; Streptophyta; Magnoliopsida; Gentianales; Rubiaceae. The record is from RefSeq and is a predicted model, not a curated record.
GAUGAUUUAGUGCCCUUAAAACUUAUAUUUAUGCUAGAUGAACCCAAUAUUUCAUUCUAAAGUUAUUCUUUUCUGAUUUUCAGUUUUGCUAUGGAAAACCAUGGCCUGCUAUGUGUUGAUUUUUUUUAAUGUUAAUGUAGUAGUUUGAUAUAUUUUUUGUGCUAAUAUUUCAUUUUUCUGUGGUUGGAAAUAUUUCUGCUCAGUUGGGUGUCAAUGGUGCUUUUUGGAUCAAUCUUUGACUGGUAAUGUAAUGUAUUUGAGCAUGUUAAAUAUGUACAUAUGUGCAUCUGCGUGUGCAUGUGUGUGGUAACUUGUUUGAAUCAACUUGGAUUCCAGAGUUGAUUAUUUCCAGUUGUAAGAAACUGAUGAUAUUAAUGCGGGCUGUUGGAAAAGAAAACCUUCCUAUUAUUAUGUUUGAACAGAACUGAAAACACAUGCUUAGAACUGGGGAAGUAAACAGUACUUUAAUUGCAUGACCAGAUAAAAAAUUAACAUGGGAUGCACAUCGAGGAGAAAAAUUGAUGUCAAUGGCCAUCAGAUUCCUCAAGAGAGAUGAAGUAAUGAAUCUAUGAAUCUAAGUGUCUGUUAUUAAAUCUAAGCAUGACAGGAUGAGGGCAGUAGUGAAGCUUUGCUGUUCAACAAUGUACUUGAAUACCAUUAAAGCACGAAAGCUGAACUUGAUUGAAGGCGACUAAUAUUGUGGAAGUUGGUAGAUUUCAAUUGCGUCGGAAAUAGCUUUGUUGAGUUGACUCAGCAAAAAGGUAAAGAAAUUGGGACGUCCUCAAGAGCUUUCUAGCUAUGGUUGUGAGUGAAACUUGGACCUCAAUGACAUGUUUUACGAAGGCGCUAUUGAUUCUUUUGAUCCCUUGAGGAAGAAACAUAAGGUUUUUUAUGUUGAUGGUGAUGAGGAGAAUUUGAAUCUAAAAAGGGAACGUUGGAUUUUGCUUGGCGGCAGUUCUUGUCAUCAAGUGAUGGUGGAGGGG